UUAGAGUUUGAUCCUGGCUCAGGAUGAACUCUGGCGGCGUGCUUAACACAUGCAAGUCGAACGAACCUUCGGGUUAGUGGCGGACGGGUGAGUAACGCGUGGGAAUCUGCCCUCAGGAGGGGGAUAACGGUUGGAAACGACCGCUAAUACCCCAUAUGCCGAGAGGUGAACGAAAUUCGCCUGAGGAUGAGCCCGCGUCUGAUUAGCUAGUUGGUGGGGUAAAGGCCUACCAAGGCAUCGAUCAGUAGCUGGUCUGAGAGGAUGAUCAGCCACACUGGACUGAGACACGGCCCAGACUCCUACGGGAGGCAGCAGUGGGGAAUUUUCCGCAAUGGGCGCAAGCCUGACGGAGCAACGCCGCGUGAGGGAUGAAGGCCUCUGGGCUGUAAACCUCUUUUCUCAAGGAAGAAGAACUGACGGUACUUGAGGAAUAAGCCACGGCUAAUUCCGUGCCAGCAGCCGCGGUAAUACGGGAGUGGCAAGCGUUAUCCGGAAUUAUUGGGCGUAAAGCGUCCGCAGGCGGCCUUGAAAGUCUGUCGUUAAAGCGUGGAGCUUAACUCCAUUUCGGCGGUGGAAACUACAAGGCUUGAGUGUGGUAGGGGCAGAGGGAAUUCCCGGUGUAGCGGUGAAAUGCGUAGAUAUCGGGAAGAACACCAGUGGCGAAGGCGCUCUGCUGGGCCAUAACUGACGCUCAUGGACGAAAGCUAGGGGAGCGAAAGGGAUUAGAUACCCCUGUAGUCCUAGCCGUAAACGAUGAACACUGGGUGUCGGGGGAAUCGACCCCCUCGGUGUCGUAGCUAACGCGUUAAGUGUUCCGCCUGGGGAGUACGCACGCAAGUGUGAAACUCAAAGGAAUUGACGGGGGCCCGCACAAGCGGUGGAGUAUGUGGUUUAAUUCGAUGCAACGCGAAGAACCUUACCAGGGUUUGACAUCCUGCGAAUCCCUUGGAAACUUGGGAGUGCCUUCGGGAGCGCAGAGACAGGUGGUGCAUGGCUGUCGUCAGCUCGUGUCGUGAGAUGUUGGGUUAAGUCCCGCAACGAGCGCAACCCACGUCUUUAGUUGCCAGCAUUUAGUUGGGCACUCUAGAGAGACUGCCGGUGAUAAACCGGAGGAAGGUGUGGAUGACGUCAAGUCAUCAUGCCCCUUACAUCCUGGGCUACACACGUACUACAAUGCUACGGACAAAGGGCAGCAAACUCGCGAGAGCUAGCAAAUCCCAUAAACCGUGGCUCAGUUCAGAUCGUAGGCUGCAACUCGCCUACGUGAAGGAGGAAUCGCUAGUAAUCGCAGGUCAGCAUACUGCGGUGAAUACGUUCCCGGGCCUUGCACACACCGCCC
This 1339-nucleotide ribosomal RNA is filed under the name uncultured bacterium. Its description in RNAcentral is "16S ribosomal RNA". It matches the Rfam family "Bacterial small subunit ribosomal RNA". The record is from RNAcentral.